GUUCCGUAGGUGAGACGUUCAGGCACAGAGACUCACUGGACUUUCUCCUCAGAGUCUCGCAAGGCUCAAAUCAGAGAAUCAGCUGGGUUGUCUUCCUUUUUGGAGGCUCUGGGGAAGAAUCCAAUUCCAACUUCAUUCGAAUGGCUAGCAGGAGUGCAUUCUUGUCUCAUUCUUUUGUUCCUAGCCAGAGACAACUUUCCUUCUAAGUGCUCAUGUGAUUAGGUCAGACCCAGUUGAAUAUUCUCUCUACCACUGAAAGUGGGAAAAAAAAGACAUAAUGAAGAGGACUCAGAGAUGAAUAUGCAGCAAAAGCGACAUUUGAGAGCUAUGAAGAAGGACUUUGGGGGAACAGAAAGUUGUGUUCAAGCCAUACAACUCCAUGGAGGGAUUAACACAGCAGGAAAUAUGAUGAACAUUUUGCCAAAAAUGAGGGUGUGGCCUGUCAGAGUGGGCACUUGGCAUCUGGAGUUGUCCCACAUGAUUAUAA
Molecule: long non-coding RNA, 487 nt
Filed under: Homo sapiens (human)
Lineage: Eukaryota; Metazoa; Chordata; Mammalia; Primates; Hominidae
Description: HSALNT0298368
Source: RNAcentral